RNAcentral lists this ribosomal RNA (484 nucleotides) under uncultured bacterium. RNAcentral's name for it is "partial 16S ribosomal RNA". It matches the Rfam family "Bacterial small subunit ribosomal RNA", at positions 30 to 507 of the family's 1533-position model. The record is from RNAcentral.
AUUGAACGCUGGCGGAAUGCUUUACACAUGCAAGUCGAACGGCAGCACGCGGGCAACUCUGGUGGCGAGUGGCGCACGGGUGAGUAAUACAUCGGCACGUGCCCGGUCGGGGGGGAUAACGUAGCGAAAGUUACGCUAAUACCGCAUACUCUCUGAGUAUGAAAGCGGGGGACAUUCGGACUUCGCGCCAUCGCAGCGGCCGAUGUCGGAUUAGGUAGUUGGUGGGGUAAAGGCCUACCAAGCCGACGAUCUGUAGCUGGUCUGAGAGGACGACCAGCCACACUGGGACUGAGACACGGCCCAGACUCCUACGGGAGGCAGCAGUGGGGAAUUUUGGACAAAGGGCGCAAGCCUGAUCCAGCCAUUCCGCGUGCAGGACGAAGGCCUUCGGGUUGUAAACCGCUUUUGUAAGGAACGAAAAGGCUUUGGCUAAUACCGGGGGCUCAUGACGGUACCGGAAGAAUAAGCACCGGCUAACUACGUG